UACGUAGGUGGCAAGCGUUGUCCGGAGUUAUUGGGCGUAAAGCGCGCGCAGGCGGCAUGGCAAGUAAGGUGUGAAAUCUCCCUGCCUAACGGGGAGGGUGCAUUUUAGACUGCCAAGCUAGAGGACGGUAGAGGGGGGUAGAAUUGCUGGUGUAGCGGUGAAAUGCGUAGAGAUCAGCAGGAAUACCCGUGGCGAAGGCGGCCCCCUGGGCCGAACCUGACGCUGAGGCGCGAAGGCUAGGGGAGCGAACGGG
This 253-nucleotide ribosomal RNA is filed under the name uncultured bacterium. Its description in RNAcentral is "partial 16S ribosomal RNA". It matches the Rfam family "Bacterial small subunit ribosomal RNA", at positions 524 to 776 of the family's 1533-position model. The record is from RNAcentral.